CAGAAUCAUUCGAUGCUGGCAUAAGCAUGCGUAUGAAGAAUCCUCUUUGAUUGCAUUGGCAACCUCUCGUUCCUCAUCCUCUAUCUCUCAGGCCUCAGCCAGCACACAAACUCGGACUCUGCCACUGACAAAAACAGAAGCUCUCAUUUUUCUUUCAGCUUAAUCGAGAGAUGACUCUCAACUUAAACUUACCCUCUCCUUUUCUUUCUAAUUUCUCCACUCCACGCUUCUCAAAAUUCUAUGAAACCUUUCCCAUCAACAGCAACGGCAACAACACAGCCGCGCUCUUGUCUCUUUUAUUUGUCACCAGAAGCAGACCCACAACAAUGUUGAGAAGUUUUAAAACGAGAGCUUCGUUAAGUGAAAGUGAAAACGGGGUCGUGGAGAUUCUUGACGAGGAGUUGCUGAACAGAGUUUCGGGUGCUAAGGAUGCAAAUGAAGUGCUGGAGAUGGUGGCUGAGAAGUCACAGAUAAGUAGUGGGGUUGUGAGUGUUAAUGAGUGUUGCUCCAUAAUUAAUGCAGCCAUUGAUCGCGGCAAUACUGACCUCGCUUUGUCUGUUUUCUAUGCCAUGCGCUCUACUUUUGAUCAAGGUGUUAGUGAAAAUGAUACAUUUGUUGAUAGAUGGAAAUGGUCAAGGCCAGACGUAAGUGUAUAUACAACAUUAGUUCAGGGUCUUGCAGCUUCAUUAAAGGUUUCAGAUGCUCUUAGAUUGAUUGAAGAUAUUUGUCGAGUUGGAGUUUCUCCUGGAGAGGAGGUGCCAUUCGGGAAAGUUGUGAGAUGUCCAACUUGCUUCAUAACUGUAGCAGUUGCUCAACCCCAAAAUGGUAUUCAGAUUGUAUCAUGUGCCAAAUGUCGCUACAAGUACGAGCUUGUCUCUGGUGACAUUGUCAGUAUUGACUCAGAAGAAAUCAGCAUGGAUAUUCCAGCAUGGAAAAGGGGGCUAAGAUUUUUGCAAAUAGUGAAGCAAAGGAUUCCUGCGGCUGUCCACUCUAUUGUGGUUCAGACUCCUUCUGGGAUGGCACGUACACACAGGUUUGCUACUGAAACAGUUGAUCUCCCGGCACAGGAAGGAGAAAGGGUAACUGUUGCUUCUGCAACUCCAUCAAAUGUCUAUAGGGAGGUGGGUCCCUUUAAAUUUAGUCCAAAGGCCCCUAACUUCUACCCUGGAGAACCUAUGAGCUUGACAAACCACAAAGAUGGAAGGGAAUCACCAUUAUUGAGAGCCCCAACUAAAGAUGGAAGCUCAUCCUUACUCAAUCCCUUCAGCCUCAUCCCUUUUCUGGCUGUUCUGGCCACUGGAGAAGCUGCCUCAGGAUUAAUUGAUCCUAGCUUACCUAAGUUCCUUUCAGUUGCUGCUGCAUCUCUUGCUGUUGGAGCAACUUUAAAUACUCUGGUUCUCCCUCAACUGAAUAAGCUUCCUCAAAGGUCAGUGGAUGCAAUUGCUAUCAAGCAGCAGCUUUUAUCACAAUAUGACAUGCUUCAGUCUCGUAUCAAAGACCUAAAAGAAGCUGCUGAAAAAGAGGUUUGGAUGUUGGCUCGGAUGUGCCAGCUGGAGAACAAAAUAUAUGCUGUAGGAGAACCUUCUUAUCGUGCUCGGAAAAGUAAAGUUAAGAGGGUGCGUGAAGGCUUGGAAAAUUCCCUCAAGGGACGGAUUGAACUGAUUGACAGCUAUGCAAGGAUUUCUUCUAUGAUCGAGAUUGAGGUAGAAAUGGAUUCUGAUGUUCUUGCUGCUGAAGCAGUGACCAGUGUGGAAAGCAUUUCCGAACAGAUACAACAAAUCAUGGAAAUUGAAAAUCUUGAAGAGAAAUGGAGACUGCAGGCUGAAGCAAAUGAUGAGGCAGAAAGACUCAUUAGUUCCCAACCUAUAAACCCCACAGAACAGAUUUAGAUAUCUCACUGAGAACUGUUGACAAAACUAAGACCACUUUGCUUAGUGUUACAACCUGUUUUUCCUGAACUCAUCGUUAGAUCGGUGGAAAAGUUGAGUGCCAACUCAUCGUUCAUGAACAUCAGACAAUGUUGGGCAAUACUAUGUUUAACCAAUAACUGGAGAAGAAUCUGAAUUUAUGCAAAUAUUGGAAAUGGAGGAUGACUGGAUCAGAUUCCAUGAUACAUCUCCUGGCUCCGAAUAAGUAAUCUGUUCGUCCUUAAGAUUGGCUGACAAGACAAAUUUAGAGAUAAAAGAAAUACGCAGUGGAUGAAUAUCAGAAGGAAUACACAGCGGAUGUAUUCUGUGCGGUUUGCAGGUGCUAGCAUCAGCCAUGGAGUGAGGUAAUUAGAUAUAAACCUGACCUUCUCCAUCAUCGCAACAGAUCCCCAUGUAGAACAAACCGAACCAUUGAUACAAGGUGGAAAAUUAUUGUACGGAAUCUAAAUUAUUCAUUGAGAGUGAAGAAUUACAAGAAAUCCUAAACUUGUGUGCUGUCUUCUGUGGUGGCCUUUCUGAGAUCAUACAGUUAAUUUUGUUUAACAUGGUACAGAUAUUUUGGUCCAAUGUUCUUAUUAUGGGCAGGCUUGACUUAUAAUUGCA
RNA transcript from Pistacia vera, 2531 nucleotides. RefSeq lists it as uncharacterized. The transcript has 13 exons. Lineage: Eukaryota; Viridiplantae; Streptophyta; Magnoliopsida; Sapindales; Anacardiaceae. The record is from RefSeq and is a predicted model, not a curated record.